AACGAACGCUGGCGGCAGGCUUAACACAUGCAAGUCGAACGAGAUCUUCGGAUCUAGUGGCAGACGGGUGAGGAACACGUGGGAACAUCCCUUUCAGUUCGGAAUAACGUUGGGAAACUAACGCUAAUACCGGAUACGUCCUUCGGGAGAAAGAUUUAUCGCUGAAAGAUUGGCCCGCGUCUGAUUAGCUAGUUGGUGGGGUAACGGCUCACCAAGGCUACGAUCAGUAGCUGAUCUGAGAGGAUGAUCAGCCACAUUGGGACUGAGACACGGCCCAAACUCCUACGGGAGGCAGCAGUGGGGAAUAUUGGACAAUGGGCGCAAGCCUGAUCCAGCCAUGCCGCGUGAGUGAUGACGGCCUUCGGGUUGUAAAACUCUUUUGUCCGGGAAGAUAAUGACUGUACCGGAAGAAUAAGCCCCGGCAAACUUCGUGCCAGCCGCCGCAGUAA
Molecule: ribosomal RNA, 449 nt
Filed under: uncultured bacterium
Lineage: Bacteria
Description: partial 16S ribosomal RNA
Rfam family: Bacterial small subunit ribosomal RNA
Source: RNAcentral